RNAcentral lists this unclassified non-coding RNA (392 nucleotides) under soil metagenome. RNAcentral's name for it is "partial contains 5.8S ribosomal RNA, internal transcribed spacer 2, and large subunit ribosomal RNA". The stretch from base 1 to 122 matches the Rfam family "5.8S ribosomal RNA", at positions 35 to 154 of the family's 154-position model. The record is from RNAcentral.
GAUGAAGAACGUAGCGAAAUGCGAUACUUGGUGUGAAUUGCAGAAUCCCGUGAACCAUCGAGUCUUUGAACGCAAGUUGCGCCCGAAGCCAUCAGGUUGAGGGCACGUCUGCCUGGGCGUCACAUAUCGUUGCUCGAUGCCUAUCGCAUUGCGAUAGGACUUAGGGCGAAUGAUGGCUUCCCGUGAGCGUUGUUGCCUCGCGGUUGGUUGAAAAUCGAGUCCUUGGUAGGGUGUGCCAUGAUAGAUGGUGGUCGAGUCAGCACGAGACCGAUCAUGUGCAUGCUCCCCAAAAUAUGGCGUCUGUGACCCACACGCGUCUUUUGACGCUCAUGACGAGACCUCAGGUCAGGCGGGGCUACCCGCUGAAUUUAAGCAUAUCAAUAAGCGGAGGA